This 292-nucleotide ribosomal RNA is filed under the name uncultured bacterium. RNAcentral's name for it is "partial 16S ribosomal RNA". It matches the Rfam family "Bacterial small subunit ribosomal RNA", at positions 505 to 796 of the family's 1533-position model. The record is from RNAcentral.
GUGCCAGCAGCCGCGGUAAUACGUAGGGGGCAAGCGUUGUCCGGAUUUAUUGGGCGUAAAGAGCGUGUAGGCGGCCAGGUAGGUCUGGUGUGAAAACUCGAGGCUCAACCUCGAGAUGUCAUCGGAAACCAUCUGGCUAGAGUCCGGAAGAGGAGAGUGGAAUUCCCGGUGUAGCGGUGAAAUGCGCAGAUAUCGGGAAGAACACCUAUGGCGAAGGCAGCUCUCUGGGACGGUACUGACGCUGAGACGCGAAAGCGUGGGGAGCGAACAGGAUUAGAUACCCCAGUAGUCC